UACGAAGGGGGCUAGCGUUGCUCGGAAUCACUGGGCGUAAAGGGUGCGUAGGCGGGUCUUUAAGUCAGGGGUGAAAUCCUGGAGCUCAACUCCAGAACUGCCUUUGAUACUGAGGAUCUUGAGUCCGGGAGAGGUGAGUGGAACUGCGAGUGUAGAGGUGAAAUUCGUAGAUAUUGGGAAGAACACCGGUGGCGAAGGCGGCGCUCUGGACCGAGACUGACGCUGAGGCGCGAAAGCGUGGGGAGCAAACAGG
RNAcentral lists this ribosomal RNA (253 nucleotides) under uncultured bacterium. Its description in RNAcentral is "partial 16S ribosomal RNA". It matches the Rfam family "Bacterial small subunit ribosomal RNA", at positions 524 to 776 of the family's 1533-position model. The record is from RNAcentral.